RNAcentral lists this ribosomal RNA (258 nucleotides) under uncultured bacterium. Its description in RNAcentral is "partial 16S ribosomal RNA". It matches the Rfam family "Bacterial small subunit ribosomal RNA", at positions 526 to 779 of the family's 1533-position model. The record is from RNAcentral.
CGUAGGGUGCAAGCGUUGUCCGGAAUUAUUGGGCGUAAAGAGCUCGUAGGCGGUUUGUCGCGUCUGGCUGUGAAAUCCCGAGGCUCAACCUCGGGCUUGCAGUGGGUACGGGCAGACUAGAGUGCGGUAGGGGAGAUUGGAAUUCCUGGUGUAGCGGUGGAAUGCGCAGAUAUCAGGAGGAACACCGAUGGGCGAAAGGCAGAUCUCUGGGGCCGUAACUGACGCUGAGGAGCGAAAGCAUGGGAAGCGAACAGGAUU